AGAACGAACGCUGGCGGCAGGCCUCAAACAUGCAAGUCUAGGGGGUGUAGCAAUACAUCACCGGCGGACGGGUGCGUAACACGUGGGAAUGUACCUACUGGUUCGGAACAACGCAGGGAAACUUGCGCUAAUACCGAAUAAGCCCGAAAGGGGAAAGAUUUAUCGCCAGUAGAUCAGCCCGCGUAGGAUUAGCUAGUUGGUGGGGUAAUGGCCCACCAAGGCUCCGAUCCUUAGCUGUUCUGAGAGGAAGAUCAGCCACACUGGGACUGAGACACGGCCCAGACUCCUACGGGAGGCAGCAGUUGGGAAUCUUGGACAAUGGGGGAAACCCUGAUCCAGCCAUGCCGCGUGAGUGAUGAAGGCCUUCGGGUUGUAAAACUCUUUCGACGGGGACGAUAAUGACGGUACCCGUAGAAGAAGCUCGGCUAACUUCGCGCCAGCAGCCGC
RNAcentral lists this ribosomal RNA (447 nucleotides) under uncultured bacterium. Its description in RNAcentral is "SSU rRNA". It matches the Rfam family "Bacterial small subunit ribosomal RNA", at positions 26 to 518 of the family's 1533-position model. The record is from RNAcentral.